GGUAAGGAAAUAAUAUUUCUUGGGGAAACAUAAUAUUUAAGUUAGUACUUGACAAGCAUGAUGCAUGUAAUAUAAAUUUUAUUGAACCAGAUUUUUCCAAAGUGAAAAUUCUAUUAAUUGACUUUGAGAAGUCAUUGGAUUCUUUCUGAUCACUAAGUAAGGCUGAAUAGAGACACAGUUUAAUGUAGUAUAUCUUUUAUCUAUUUUGCUGACAUGCAACAUACACCAUAUACCCACAAAGAGAAAAUACCUAUAACACUAAAAUGGCAUAAUGAUGAAUCUUCAGUGUUCUAAGCCAUGUGGUUAUUGCUAGAACAUAAGAUAUCUGGUGAAAUGACAUAGCAUUUCUCCUCUAGGCUAGAGAGGAAGUAUCACAACGGCCCCAUUAAAAAAUUGUCCCAUCUAUUUAGAUCCGUUAGUAUGCUAUAUUAAAAGGUGAGAUUGGUGGCCAUGUUUCUUCAAACACAAAUCUGAGCCAUCAGGGUUGGCGAUAAAUAGCAGUGGAGUUCGAGGAUGACGUUCAUGGUCUUUGACCAUGUGAAGCAAAUUUAGACUGAUUUUCCUUAUCUAUCUCCUCUUCCAUGGAUUCCCAGAAAGCCAUCUAGAGAUUUAGUCAGGAAAAAUCUCUGUACAACACAGACACACAAGACCAAUCACGUCAAUGCCCUCAAGAUUUUAAAAACUUUUUUUUUUGCCAUUUCUUGGGCCGCUCCCGUGGCAUGUGGAGGUUCCCAGGCUAGGGGUCGAACUGGAGCUGUAGCCACUGGCCUAAACCAGAGCCACAGCAACGCGGGAUCUGAGCCACAUCUGCAACCUACACCACAGCUCAUGGCAACGCCAGAUCCUUAACCCACUGAGCAAGGCCAGGGACCGAACCCGCAACCUCAUGGUUCCUAGUCAGAUUCGUUAACCACUGCACCAUGAUGGGAACUCCAAGAUUUUAAAAACUUUUGCCGAAGAUUUACAUACAGAAAAUAAUAAUCUGUUAUCUGAUUCAAGGUUCAUUUUAAGAGAAAACAUUUAUUUUCAUGCUUUUUGAAAAUCACACUUUUUCUGGAAAUUUUAACAUUUGUUUUCUAGUUGUUGACUCAUUUAUGUAAAUUCAUUUUUUUUUCUUUUUUUGCUGUGCAUAUGGAAAUUCCUGGGUCAGGGAUCAAACUUGCACCACAGCAGUAACCUGAGCCACAGCAAUGACAAUGCUGGAUCCUUAACCCACUGAUCCACCAAGGCACUCCUGUGUAAAUACAUUUUUUUGGCUAUGCCUACAGCAUAUGGAAGUUCCUGGGCCAGGGAUUAAACCCAUGCCACAGCAAUAACCAGAGCCAUAUAAUAGCUAGAUCCUUAAUCCACAGAGCCACCGCAGAACUCCUCUGUAAAUUCUUUGUUGGUACAUUACUACUGUCCUCUCCCAUUUUACAGAGAAGUUAGGAGAAUACAUGGAAUGAUCCAAAAUCCUUGGAGCAAACACAAUCACAGAAACCAAUAUCAAGACCUCAGAAAGAUGCCAUCUGACACUGAGAUUGAACAAUGAUCAUUAUGUAAUAAAAUGGCCUGAAAAUAUGACUGCACAAAAGUCAGGUUGUUUUGUGACUGUGUUGAAGAGCUUCAAGUAUUCUUCAAGGUACCAUCAUGGUGAUGGUGCUUCUUAGUUUUGACUUGAUUUUACCUAGACUUUACAGUUUUUGUAAAUGUGGGGUAGGGCUCAUGGAGCCAAUGAGAUGCUAAAUCCAUCCCUCUUUUCCUCCACUCUAUACACAUACAACCAACCACCUCUUAGUAUCACCACUGCUUGAAGAGUGGACAGUAUUGGAUGAGUAUGUUAAUAUCUCACAGAGAAGUUAACAAACACUCCUAUGGGCAGUUCACCAAUACAUAAAAC
This 1879-nucleotide long non-coding RNA is filed under the name Sus scrofa (pig). Its description in RNAcentral is "lncRNA (ENSSSCG00050058330.1)". Lineage: Eukaryota; Metazoa; Chordata; Mammalia; Artiodactyla; Suidae. The record is from RNAcentral.